Molecule: ribosomal RNA, 253 nt
Filed under: uncultured bacterium
Lineage: Bacteria
Description: partial 16S ribosomal RNA
Rfam family: Bacterial small subunit ribosomal RNA
Source: RNAcentral
UACGAAGGGGGCUAGCGUUGCUCGGAAUCACUGGGCGUAAAGCGCACGUAGGCGGAUUGUUAAGUCGGGGGUGAAAUCCUGGAGCUCAACUCCAGAACUGCCUUCGAUACUGGCGAUCUUGAGUCCGGGAGAGGUGAGUGGAACUCCGAGUGUAGAGGUGAAAUUCGUAGAUAUUCGGAAGAACACCAGUGGCGAAGGCGGCUCACUGGCCCGGUACUGACGCUGACGGUGCGAAAGCGUGGGAGCAAACAGG